GCCUGGGUGGCUCAGUGGGUUGAGUGUCUGACUUCAGCUCAGGUCAUGAUCUCACGGUCCGUGAGUUCGAGCCCCGCGUCGGGCU
This 85-nucleotide transfer RNA is filed under the name Felis catus (domestic cat). It matches the Rfam family "tRNA". From Rfam's summary of the family: Transfer RNA (tRNA) molecules are approximately 80 nucleotides in length. The record is from Rfam by way of RNAcentral. Lineage: Eukaryota; Metazoa; Chordata; Mammalia; Carnivora; Felidae.